AAGGUCUUAUCUUAAUUAAAGUAUCUGAGUUGCAUUCAGAUUAUGCAAGAUAAAGUCUUGUAGGCCUUA
This 69-nucleotide transfer RNA is filed under the name Neocyema erythrosoma. RNAcentral describes it as "tRNA-Ala". It matches the Rfam family "tRNA". From Rfam's summary of the family: Transfer RNA (tRNA) molecules are approximately 80 nucleotides in length. Their secondary structure includes four short double-helical elements and three loops (D, anti-codon, and T loops). Further hydrogen bonds mediate the characteristic L-shaped molecular structure. tRNAs have two regions of fundamental functional importance: the anti-codon, which is responsible for specific mRNA codon recognition, and the 3' end, to which the tRNAs corresponding amino acid is attached (by aminoacyl-tRNA synthetases). tRNAs cope with the degeneracy of the genetic code in two manners: having more than one tRNA (with a specific anti-codon) for a particular amino acid; and 'wobble' base-pairing, i.e. permitting non-standard base-pairing at the 3rd anti-codon position. Lineage: Eukaryota; Metazoa; Chordata; Actinopteri; Anguilliformes; Cyematidae. The record is from RNAcentral.